This 451-nucleotide ribosomal RNA is filed under the name uncultured bacterium. RNAcentral describes it as "bacterial SSU rRNA". It matches the Rfam family "Bacterial small subunit ribosomal RNA", at positions 340 to 782 of the family's 1533-position model. The record is from RNAcentral.
UACGGAAGGCAGCAGUGGGGAAUAUUGCACAAUGGGCGCAAGCCUGAUGCAGCCAUGCCGCGUGUAUGAAAAAGGCCUUCGGGUUGUAAAGUACUUUCAGUCGUGAGGAAGGUGUUAAGGUUAAUAACCUUAGCAAUUGACGUUAGCGACAGAAGAAGCACCGGCUAACUCCGUGCCAGCAGCCGCGGUAAUACGGAGGGUGCGAGCGUUAAUCGGAAUUACUGGGCGUAAAGGGCACGCAGGCGGUUAAUUAAGUUGGAUGUGAAAUCCCCGGGCUUAACCUGGGAAUGGCAUUCAAGACUGGUUAGCUAGAGUCUUGUAGAGGGGGUAGAAUUCCAUGUGUAGCGGUGAAAUGCGUAGAGAUGUGGAGGAAUACCGGUGGCGAAGGCGGCCCCUGGGACAAAGGCUGACGCUCAUGUGCGAAAGCGUGGGGAGCAAACGAGGGAUUAGA